UCGCUUCAGCAGCACAUAUAUAAAAAUUGGAAUGAUACAGAGAAGAUUACCAUGGCCCUGGCACAAGGAUGACACACAAAUUUGUAGAAGUUCCAUAUUUUU
Small nuclear RNA from Otolemur garnettii (small-eared galago), 102 nucleotides. NCBI's taxonomy places the organism in Eukaryota, Metazoa, Chordata, Mammalia, Primates, Galagidae. The record is from Ensembl.